This 327-nucleotide ribosomal RNA is filed under the name uncultured eukaryote. RNAcentral describes it as "partial 18S ribosomal RNA". It matches the Rfam family "Eukaryotic small subunit ribosomal RNA", at positions 1470 to 1796 of the family's 1831-position model. The record is from RNAcentral.
CCCUUAGAUGUCCGGGGCCGCACGCGCGCUACAAUGGAUGAAUCAACGCGUCAUCCUGGCCCGAAAGGGUUGGGGAACCGCUGAACCUCAUCCGUGGUUGGGAUUGGGGUUUGUAAUUAUUCCCCAUGAACUAGGAAUUCCCAGUAAGCGCGAGUCAUAAGCUCGCGUUGAUUGCGUCCCUGCCCUUUGUACACACCGCCCGUCGCUACUACCGAUUGGAUGGUUUAGUGAGAUCCUCGGAUUGGUCACGGCACGGUGGCAACACUGCGUCGGUGUGCCGAGAAGACGAUCAAACUUGAUCAUCUAGAGGAAGUAAAAGUCGUAACA